RNAcentral lists this long non-coding RNA (564 nucleotides) under Phoenix dactylifera (date palm). RNAcentral describes it as "long non-coding RNA (PDAC_LNC021583)". Lineage: Eukaryota; Viridiplantae; Streptophyta; Magnoliopsida; Arecales; Arecaceae. The record is from RNAcentral.
AUAACCCCAAAUUUUUUUUUUUAUAUAAAAAGGGAUAGAAUAGUCCUUUAAAAUUGAUAUAAGGGGUAAAAUUGGAAGGAAUCAAAAGAUAAUGGCAUAGUUGUAGAUAUGUUGAAGUGUUAGGGGCAAAAUGGGAAUUUAAUAAUAUUAAACAAAGGUGAAUAGUGCUUUGAUGUGAUUUAAAUGGGGUGGUUGGUGGCUCACGGGAAUGAAACCGAGAGAGAGUCACAGAGAGGGGGUUCUCAGGCGACAGAGAGGAAGAAAAAGAAGAAGAAGAAGAGGAAGGGGAUUCGAGGAGGAGGGGGAUCCCGGUUGCACUUCCAGCUGAAGGGAAAAACGUAGAUCUCCUUCCCCUCUACACAAGGACCUCGAUUUCCAAAAAGAAAAAGGUAAAUAUCCGUCCCUAUCUAGUCUUUUGAUGACAUUAGGCUAUACAAAGGGUGGAUAUAGUCUAGAGGGGUCGGAUAAGGGUUGUAGAGGUGGUUAAAAGAGGAAGAAUCGGAUUUUAACAAAUUUUUCCGGCACUACGGAAAAACUGUGUCGAAGUCCCAACUUCGGCGAAUU